AUUGAACGCUGGCGGCAGGCCUAACACAUGCAAGUCGAGCGGAUGAAGGGAGCUUGCUCCUGGAUUCAGCGGCGGACGGGUGAGUAAUGCCUAGGAAUCUGCCUGGUAGUGGGGGAUAACGUCCGGAAACGGGCGCUAAUACCGCAUACGUCCUGAGGGAGAAAGUGGGGGAUCUUCGGACCUCACGCUAUCAGAUGAGCCUAGGUCGGAUUAGCUAGUUGGUGGGGUAAAGGCCUACCAAGGCGACGAUCCGUAACUGGUCUGAGAGGAUGAUCAGUCACACUGGAACUGAGACACGGGCCAGAAUCCUACGGGAGGCAGCAGUGGGGAAUAUUGGACAAUGGGCGAAAGCCUGAUCCAGCCAUGCCGCGUGUGUGAAGAAGGUCUUCGGAUUGUAAAGCACUUUAAGUUGGGAGGAAGGGCAGUAAGUUAAUACCUUGCUGUUUUGACGUUACCAACAGAAUAAGCACCGGCUAACUUCGUG
RNAcentral lists this ribosomal RNA (484 nucleotides) under uncultured bacterium. RNAcentral describes it as "partial 16S ribosomal RNA". It matches the Rfam family "Bacterial small subunit ribosomal RNA", at positions 30 to 507 of the family's 1533-position model. The record is from RNAcentral.